UGCAACCACCUGCCCACUUUUUCUGCCUCCCGUCUCUGGUCAGCCCAGGCCGUCUUGGCCGGGGUCCACCCACUCCAAAAACCACCACAGUUGUGGCGUUGCCUCCUCGCCAGACAGAGAUAGAGGGCCAACAAUGAAGGGUGACUGGCCAAAUGUCUGGGAGAUGGCCCUGUUCCACAUUGUCUGUGUUCUUGCGAAAUUGCAAGGCGUCACGAGGCUUGCCCACCCAAUCCUCUGGAGAGUUCUUGCGCAGAGGUAGAUUGUUUGGCACACGAGAUGUCGGCGUGGGUCGGAAAGCAUGCGGAAGUCCUGCUUUGCUACGUGAUGGAUUUGCAGGUCAGGCUGGGGAGCCUGGGUCUGUGGGAGGAGUCCAGUGUCUGAGUCAGUUUGAGGUCCCCCUGGGGACCAGGGUUGUCUCAGUGGGAGAGCUGGGAAGGGGAAACUCAUGGUUCACUACAGCUAGUAGGCCACCUCAGCCCAGCUAGUUGAGAUGGUCCCAUUGAAUCCAUCCUCUUUCUCCUUGAUCCGGCAGGUGGAGGAACUCAGCCAUCCCGGUUACCGGUGGCAGGAUGAUUUCCUUUCAUCCCAACCUUUAUUUCCACAGUGAAAUCAUCAUGAAGGAGCACUGUGUUGGCAUCCUCGGCUACAGGGUGUCUCAUUCCACUGCAGUCCAGCGGUUCUGGGAUCACGAAGGUCAAGCCUCCAGCUGCAGGCAGUACACCUCCUACCUGAGCUCAUUCAGCUGUUUGGCUGAACAUGACUGCCCGGGUUUUGGCAGGAUUGCUGAGAUAUGGGAGUUAGCCUGUGAGCAUGUUUUCGAAUACGGA
Homo sapiens (human) is the source of this 827-nucleotide long non-coding RNA. RefSeq lists it as uncharacterized. The record is from RefSeq and is a predicted model, not a curated record. The transcript has 3 exons. Lineage: Eukaryota; Metazoa; Chordata; Mammalia; Primates; Hominidae.